GACGAACGCUGGCGGCGUGCUUAACACAUGCAAGUCGAACGGAAAGGCCCUGCUUUUGUGGGGUGCUCGAGUGGCGAACGGGUGAGUAACACGUGAGUAACCUGCCCUUGACUUUGGGAUAACUUCAGGAAACUGGGGCUAAUACCGGAUAGGAGCUCCUGCUGCAUGGUGGGGGUUGGAAAGUUUCGGCGGUUGGGGAUGGACUCGCGGCUUAUCAGCUUGUUGGUGGGGUAGUGGCUUACCAAGGCUUUGACGGGUAGCCGGCCUGAGAGGGUGACCGGCCAGAUUGGGAGUGAGAUGCGGCACAGACUCCUACGGGAGGCAGCAGUGGGGAAUAUUGCACAAUGGGCGGAAGCCUGAUGCAGCAACGCCGCGUGCGGGAUGAGGGCCUUCGGGUUGUAAACCGCUUUCGCCUGUGACGAAGCGUGAGUGAAGGUAAUGGGUAAAGAAGCACCGGCUAACUACGUG
RNAcentral lists this ribosomal RNA (468 nucleotides) under uncultured bacterium. RNAcentral describes it as "partial 16S ribosomal RNA". It matches the Rfam family "Bacterial small subunit ribosomal RNA", at positions 28 to 507 of the family's 1533-position model. The record is from RNAcentral.